AGGAGAAGUCGUAACAAGGUAACGGUAGGUGAACCUGCCGUUGGAUCAGUU
Molecule: non-coding RNA, 51 nt
Organism: Trichomonas vaginalis G3
Lineage: Eukaryota; Parabasalia; Trichomonadida; Trichomonadidae
Source: Rfam